RNAcentral lists this long non-coding RNA (2138 nucleotides) under Sus scrofa (pig). RNAcentral's name for it is "lncRNA (ENSSSCG00040071506.1)". Lineage: Eukaryota; Metazoa; Chordata; Mammalia; Artiodactyla; Suidae. The record is from RNAcentral.
AGAGUUUAACCGUGUUCUCUUCAACUUUGGAGGAGCUCCUUUUCAGCCACACUCAGAGACAGCCAUGAUAUACUUAACGUGAUAAAAGAAAAAAAAACCUCCAACCAAGAUUACUCUACCCAGCAAGGCUCUCAUUCAGAUUUGAAGGAGAAAUCAAAACCUUCACAGAUAAGCAAAAGCUGAGAGAAUUCAGCAACACUAAACCAGCCUUACAACAAAUACUAAAGGAACUUCUCUAGGCAGAAAAGAAAAGACAGCAACAGGAAACAAAAAUUCCACAAAUGACAAGGCUCACCAGUAAAGGUAUGUAUACAGUAAAGAUAUGAAAUCAUCCAUGCACAAUUAUACCACCAAAAUCAGAAUUCAUGAGAAGAGGUGGGUACAAAUGCAGGACACUGGAGAUGCACUUGCAAUUAAGAGAACAACAACUUAAAACAAUCUCAUAUACAUAUAGACUCUUAUAUCAAAACUUCAGAAUAACUGCAAUCUAAAAAUCUACAAUUGAUAUACAAACAAGGAAUCUCUGAAGAAGAAAUAUAUCUCAUAGUAAAUAAGUGCAUAAUCCACCAUGAAAGGGGUCAUUUGACAUCAUUCUUGGAAUGCUGAAAUCUUCUUAGAUCUGAUUCUGAUUUCCUCUCCAUCAAGAAUUUAUGAUAAUUAUAAUUAAAUAGUGCAACUGUACAAUAAAUAAAUAAAUAAAUAAAUAAAUAAAUAAAUAAAAAGGCAGCAUGAUAUUUUCACUAUUUCUUGAAGGAGCUCCUUUUCAGCCACACUCAGAGACAAAAGUAGUGGUGAUCCAAUCAGUUCUGCUGAGACGUAGACCAAUAAAUAAAUAAAAUUUUUGAAAAGGUUGAAAUGUGCAUAUACAUAAUUAUUAUAAACAAUGAACCUAGCCCUAAGUAUGUUAUACUUCUCAAUAUUAGUAAAUGAUAGUAUGAUUCCAGUUUAAUUUGCAAGGCAUUUAAAAACCAGCUUUCUACUGGAGACCAGACUUGUGGUUGCCAAAGAGAAAGGGUAGGGAGUGGGAUGGACUGGGAGUUUGGGGUUAGUAGAUGCAACCUAUUAUAUUUAGAAUAGAUAAGGAAUGAGGUCCUGCUGUAUAGCACAGGGAACUAUAUCCAGUCACUUUGCAUAAAACAUGAUGAAAGAUAAUAUGGAGAGAAGAAUGUAUAUAUAUGUAUGGCUAGGUCACUUUGCUACACAGCAGAAAUCAGCACAACAUUGUAAAUCAACUAUACUUUAAUAAAAACAUAUGGAGAAAAAACCAACUGUCUAGACAUCAAUAAAAAUCUCUGUGAUUUGAGGAGAAAAAGUUUAGUGUACCAUUAACAAAAGUAGUGUUAAAUUUUAUAUUUAAAGUAUUGUGUUUCUGCUCACUGUUUUCUGUUUGUAGACUGCAUAUCUUUUAUACUAUGCAUAAUAUAUUAAAACAGAUUGAUGCAUAUAUAAUUUAUAAAUUUAAAAUUAUACCUAUAAAAGAUGCUGCUCAUAUAGCUUUUACUCAUGGGAUAAUUGACCCAAAAGUGUGGAGACCACUGCUCUAUCAGAUUCUCAGGAUUCUUCCCAGGACAUUUCUUCUCCCACAUUUCAGUCAAGACAAGAUCCAGAGUCUCAAUGACAACAAGCACAUGGAGAUAAGUUGGAUGGCUCUGGAACACAAGGAGAAAGGCAAACUACAGAGCUAAAUCAGUGUCAUGAGACAUGUAACUUAAGUAUAAUGCAAGGAUCCUCAUCACCUUGGAUUGUUUAAACAAAUUUUUAAAUACAAAAUUUUUAAAUGUUUAGAAGUGAAAUUUGAAAGGUGUCUAAAACCAUUCAUAAUAGAUUACGUUCAUUUUUUAACUAAUUUUUGUUAUGAUUAUUAAAAAGUCUGUGUUCACAUUUCCAGUGGGCAUGGAUUUGUCCAACAUCUCUGAAAGCAUCCAUACCACCUGUUUACUGAGAAUGUGGGAAGACUAUGAGUAUAUGUGGGGAUAAGAAAAGGAAGAGAUGGGGGUCCAAGACAUGAAACACUUUUCAUAAAAAAUCUAAACAAAAUCACUGUUUUGAAAGUAAUGUGUCUUUCUGUGAUGUUAUCUGAGCUUGUAAAAUUUAAUACCUGCUGAUAAUAAAAGGUGUUCCUAGAUCUAAUGAUGAAC